RNAcentral lists this ribosomal RNA (497 nucleotides) under uncultured bacterium. RNAcentral describes it as "partial 16S ribosomal RNA". It matches the Rfam family "Bacterial small subunit ribosomal RNA", at positions 28 to 507 of the family's 1533-position model. The record is from RNAcentral.
GACGAACGCUGGCGGCGUGCCUAAUACAUGCAAGUUGAGCGCUGAAGGUUGGUACUUGUACCAACUGGAUGAGCAGCGAACGGGUGAGUAACGCGUGGGGAAUCUGCCUUUGAGCGGGGGACAACAUUUGGAAACGAAUGCUAAUACCGCAUAAAAACUUUAAACACAAGUUUUAAGUUUGAAAGAUGCAAUUGCAUCACUCAAAGAUGAUCCCGCGUUGUAUUAGCUAGUUGGUAAGGUAAAGGCUCACCAAGGCGAUGAUACAUAGCCGACCUGAGAGGGUGAUCGGCCACAUUGGGACUGAGACACGGCCCAAACUCCUACGGGAGGCAGCAGUAGGGAAUCUUCGGCAAUGGACGAAAGUCUGACCGAGCAACGCCGCGUGAGUGAAGAAGGUUUUCGGAUCGUAAAACUCUGUUGGUAGAGAAGAACGUUGGUGAGAGUGGAAAGCUCAUCAAGUGACGGUAACUACCCAGAAAGGGACGGCUAACUACGUG